RNAcentral lists this ribosomal RNA (301 nucleotides) under uncultured bacterium. Its description in RNAcentral is "partial 16S ribosomal RNA". It matches the Rfam family "Bacterial small subunit ribosomal RNA", at positions 509 to 807 of the family's 1533-position model. The record is from RNAcentral.
CAGCAGCCACGGUAAUACGAAGGGUGCAAGCGUUAAUCGGAAUUACUGGGCGUAAAGGGAGCGUAGGCGGACAUUUAAGUCAGGGGUGAAAUCCCGGGGCUCAACCUCGGAAUUGCCUUUGAUACUGGGUGUCUUGAGUAUGAGAGAGGUAUGUGGAACUCCGAGUGUAGAGGUGAAAUUCGUAGAUAUUCGGAAGAACACCAGUGGCGAAGGCGACAUACUGGCUCAUUACUGACGCUGAGGCUCGAAAGCGUGGGGAGCAAACAGGAUUAGAUACCCCGGUAGUCCCUGUCUCUUAUAC